This 468-nucleotide ribosomal RNA is filed under the name uncultured bacterium. Its description in RNAcentral is "partial 16S ribosomal RNA". It matches the Rfam family "Bacterial small subunit ribosomal RNA", at positions 28 to 507 of the family's 1533-position model. The record is from RNAcentral.
GACGAACGCUGGCGGCGUGCUUAACACAUGCAAGUCGAACGGAAAGGCCCUGCUUUUGUGGGGUGCUCGAGUGGCGAACGGGUGAGUAACACGUGAGUAACCUGCCCUUGACUUUGGGAUAACUUCAGGAAACUGGGGCUAAUACCCGAUAGGAGCUCCUGCUGCAUGGUGGGGGUUGGAAAGUUUCGGCGGUUGGGGAUGGACUGGCGGCUUAUCAGCUUGUUGGUGGGGUAGUGGCUUACCAAGGCUUUGACGGGUAGGCGGCCUGAGAGGGUGACCGGCCACAUUGGGACUGAGAUACGGCCCAGACUCCUACGGGAGGCAGCAGUGGGGAAUAUUGCACAAUGGGCGGAAGCCUGAUGCAGCAGCGCCGCGUGCGGGAUGACGGCCUUCGGGUUGUAAACCGCUUUCGCCUGUGACGAAGCGUGAGUGACGGUAAUGGGUAAAGAAGCACCGGCUAACUACGUG